GUUGGUCAAGCUAGUCUUAGAACUCCUGACCUCAGGUGAUCCGCCCGCCUUGGCCUCCCAAAGUGCUGGGAUUACAGGCACGAGCCACCGUGCCCAGCCCAAACCAAAGCUUCCAACAGCACCUGAAUGCUGUGUUUUUGCACUUCCAUUCGUCUGCAAUCUCAGAUUUUUCGUGCAUGACUUUAGGGUUCUGGUGGCUUGGAGGGAGGAUAUCUAGUGUGUUUGCAUUUAGAUUUCAGGGACCACAGGCUUCUAAGAGAGUGUUGCUCCUGAGCCAUAUCUUGAGAAAGGGGAAGGACCAGAGGAGAUGAUCGCUACUUCAGUUUGAGGGCCAAGGGAGAACCAACUGCACGCAGCGAGGAAGAACAAGCUGCUCUGGGCUCCUUAGGACUUUCCCGGCUGUUUUUCUCCCACUUUCUGUAGAGGCUGAUGCUAUUUGUGACGCCCAUCUUCUAUAAACUGUCAGCCAGAAACACCUGCUGAAAUAAAGGCCAUCUGUUCUGAAUGCUGAAUGCGGGUUGUUGGGAUCUCCCAAAACACACACAGGAAAGUGAACUUAUGCGAAGGAAGCCAGACCUGAAAUGGACCCUCUGGGGCUUUACCGGCCCUCGGCCUCCGGUGGAUGUCGGGAAGCAGCGAAGACAGUGCUGUGGCCGUCCCAGGACGCUGUGACUCCCAUCUGGUAGAGGUCGUGCUGUGUGAGCUGGUGUGUCUCUUUUGACUCAAGGGAACAUGCUUGCUUGUGAAGUGAAAUGGCAGAUCUUCAGAGGCUCGAAAAUGCCAGCUGCUGUGUGUAAUGGAAAGACGCAGCAGCCUGGGUGGGUCAGCGGCAAUCCAGAAUGAAUGGCUCCAAAGGGGAGCUUCGCCGUGCAGGUCAGCAGAAAGACAGUAAGUUGAUGAGACUUGGUGGAUCGAAGCGAGACAAUUCAUUACUCUCAGCACCUCAAACGACAGCAGCGCAGCAUUGCAGAGCGAGGUCCCCUGAUCCCAAGUUCCAUGGCACAGGCCAGGCUCUGUUCUUUUGAUAGCAAGUGGUAACAAGCCAGUCUCCUCCACGAGUGCUGUCAAGGCCAAAAACCAAUUUGGAGUCAUCUUUGACGCUUCCAGCUCUCCCAUAUCCUUCAUCUGAUUCAUCAGCAAGCCUGUCAGCGGCGCCUUCACUACACAUCCAGAAACUGACCGCUGCUCACCCACUCCCACCUCCCACCCGUGUCCAGUAAUCGUCAUUCUUCACCCACUUCUCAACAGCUCCCUAAGUGGCCUUCCUGCCUUCCCUCUGGCUUGACUAUUCUCAACACACAAGUCAGAUCCCCUCGCUCCUCUGCUCAAUACGGAUGCUCUGGAGGCUCUCCGCCUCACUCAGUAAAAAGCAGACUUGGAGCAAAGAUCCUACAAUUAUCUGGGGGAGAGUCUCAGGCAGAGGAAACAGCCAGAACAAAUGCCACAGGCAAGAUCGUGGUAGGGAAGAACCUGAGAGGAGGGCCAGACCCAGCAGGAGUCCAGGGCCUUAGAGACCAGCUCACACUAAAAACAGCUGGAAGCAGUGACCCCCGUUGGGUGGGUAUUGUGAUAGGAGGGAAAAGAUCUUUUUUAUGAAGUUAAAAGCCUUGCACGACGGCCUGCCUUCUAAAACUAUCUACACGUAUGGCUUUGAUAAAAAUAAAAAAUAAGAAAUUUUAAAACACUGACAUAUGAGAAGAAAAAUAUAGAAACCAACGGAAAAAUUUAACAGAUGGUAUUUGUCAGCACGUAGUGGGAGUUAAGCUUUCCUUCAGCAGAUGGAUGGACAUUCUUAUAACCAAACUGCAUGA
Long non-coding RNA from Callithrix jacchus (white-tufted-ear marmoset), 1811 nucleotides. RefSeq lists it as uncharacterized. The record is from RefSeq and is a predicted model, not a curated record. Lineage: Eukaryota; Metazoa; Chordata; Mammalia; Primates; Cebidae.